Molecule: long non-coding RNA, 1695 nt
Organism: Spodoptera frugiperda (fall armyworm)
Lineage: Eukaryota; Metazoa; Arthropoda; Insecta; Lepidoptera; Noctuidae
Exons: 4
Source: RefSeq, a predicted model, not a curated record
GGUAAGAAACGAGUCAACUAAUAGACUGUAUAGUUCUGUUGUCGUGGAUCAAGAAAAGGCAAUGGAGACCCUUCAAAUCCUAUCAAUUUUAUAAUAUAUAUCUAAUAUAUAUAUUCUACCUAAACACAAUAUUUAGCAAAUUAAUCUUAAGGAAAAAACAGACAAGCAAGACUAAUUGUUAAUCAAUGAAACAACACAUAAUUGCUUACAAAAUAAUGAGGUACGUGUUAUUUAAUGUUUGCUGGCGCAACUGUUAAAUGCAACGUUGUAUUAAGCUAACAUUGGCGUGGUAAUCAUUCGUUCAUUAUGUCAUAUUAGUUGGCUAAUAUUGGUUCAAACUUUAUUAAGUCAGAAGCCCAAAAUGUUGAUAUACAGCCAAAUGUAGUUCAGACUUAUGGAUCCAUUAUUUACUAUUAUAAUAGGUGGUGUUCAAAUUGCAUCACUCGGUAUCUUGGGAUAUUUUGAAUGUCAAUCCAAUCCACUGCAAUCUGCAACAGAGGUCCGUGUACCGUGAGAACAGAUAAUUAGAACAAACUGCUUACUAUUUCAUAAUAUAUUUGGUUAAAUUGCUAAAACUUCUGGUAUCAUCAUCAUCAUCAGCCUGUUCUCGUCCACUGCUGGACAUAGGCCUCUCCAAUGGCACAUUUGAUACAUUUGCUUAAAUUACUAAAAUCUCUGGUAAAUUCAUCAUUAUUCACUCAACCAUUUUAUCGAGCUUAGUUUCAUUGACAGUAAGUAAAUUAAAAUAAACAAAGUAAUUUCAUUAAAAAGUACAGGGUCCUUAGACAAAGUAACAUCGCUUGGUAGCGAAACGAUAUCUAAAAUCGUCAUCGUCUCAACGAUAACGACAAACAUUUCUUAGCCAAAGUAACAUCGCGAUCGUUAUCGUUGUGUCGAAUCGAUAAUUCGCUAAAAAGCAAAAAUAUUGUUUAUGGUAACGAAAAUUUAGCUGUCAGUGUCACUCAAGAAGUUCAAAUCGGAUUAUUCCCGCGAGUUAUUACUGUUUUCGAAUUUUACUGAUAAGAAUAAGUGAGUUGUUGGCGAUCGCCGUACUUCGUGAGGGUGAUGUUAUCACAGUCAGCGACGUUGGAGUGCUGGGUGACGUCACGGGAUUGGCACGGUGGUCGCCGCGCCGGUGGGCUUCAAGUGGUUGUGCUGCAAUGUCCUUAGCCCAGACGUAAAUAUCCGAAAAAUGCUGGGCUCAAGUGCUUCCCAAGAGAAAUAUGACUUUAUUAGUUCAAUUUCGAACUAGCCCUCGCAUAAGACAGUCCACGUUAUUUCUAUGAUAGUGAUGAAACAUGGAAUCAAGAGUGCGAACAAGUUCCCAACAAUUGUCAAUGCUGCUUGAGGAUAUGGCAAAUCAUGGUGACCCGGCGAGGCCUCUUGCUGCAUCAUUAGGUUGAGUACGGUCAGACCGACUGUGGACUGAACUGACAAACAUAUUGAAUGCUGUUGGUGGUGGUGGCAGCAAGACUACAGACAAGUGAUAAAAAGCGUGGUCCGCGGUUGAGAUCGCCAGCGACACCGCAGUCUGCUGUUUCUCCCGACCGCCCUCAUUUGAGCGACCCCCUUCGAGACAGCGGCAAGCGAGUAGCUAAAAAGCUAAGAGCACACAGCACCUGAAAAUUAUAAUAAUACAGAUUUAGAUUAUGUGGUUUUAUUUUUACUUACCUCUACAGCAGUUAAUAAAGUAUU